RNAcentral lists this ribosomal RNA (252 nucleotides) under uncultured bacterium. RNAcentral's name for it is "partial 16S ribosomal RNA". It matches the Rfam family "Bacterial small subunit ribosomal RNA", at positions 524 to 775 of the family's 1533-position model. The record is from RNAcentral.
UACGAAGGGGGCUAGCGUUGUUCGGAAUUACUGGGCGUAAAGGGCGCGUAGGCGGUCGAUCGCGUUGGGUGUGAAAGCCCCGGGCUCAACCUGGGAUGUGCGCCCGAAACGGGUCGGCUGGAGAUCGGAAGAGGAGAGUGGAAUUCCCAGUGUAGAGGUGAAAUUCGUAGAUAUUGGGAAGAACACCGGUGGCGAAGGCGGCUCUCUGGUCCGAUUCUGACGCUGAGGCGCGAAAGCUAGGGGAGCAAACAG